Molecule: ribosomal RNA, 351 nt
Filed under: uncultured bacterium
Lineage: Bacteria
Description: bacterial SSU rRNA
Rfam family: Bacterial small subunit ribosomal RNA
Source: RNAcentral
AGAGUUUGAUCCUGGCUUAGGACGAACGCUGGCGGCGCGCCUAACACAUGCAAGUCGAACGAGCGAGAGAGAGCUUGCUUUCUCGAGCGAGUGGCGAACGGGUGAGUAACGCGUGAGGAACCUGCCUCAAAGAGGGGGACAACGAGCUGGAAACGACUGCUAAUACCCGCAUAAGCCCACGGGUCGGCAUCGACCAGAGGGAAAAGGAGCAAUCCGCUUUGAGAUGGCCUCGCGUCCGAUUAGCUAGUUGGUGAGGUAACGGCCCACCAAGGCGACGAUCGGUAGCCGGACUGAGAGGUUGAACGGCCACAUUGGGACUGAGACACGGCCCAGACCUCCGUACGGGAGGCA